This 1119-nucleotide ribosomal RNA is filed under the name uncultured archaeon. Its description in RNAcentral is "bacterial SSU rRNA". It matches the Rfam family "Archaeal small subunit ribosomal RNA", at positions 388 to 1478 of the family's 1478-position model. The record is from RNAcentral.
UUUGUAGGUAAUCUAUAAACAGUAUCUACGCACAUAAGGACAGGUCAAGACUAGUGCCAGCCUCCUGCGGUAAAAUCUACGCUGUUCAAGAUGAAAUAGUCACGAUUAUUGGGCUUAAAGCGUCCGUAGCCGGUUUAGAAAGUCUUUCCUGUGCAAAUCCUCUAAGCUUCUAACUUAUAAGGUACUUGCAGGUACAUAUACUCCUAUAACUAGGGGUUGGGGGGGGUUUGAGGGAAUUCCUAGGGUAGCGGUCGAACAUGUCUAUAAUCCUAGGCACAGACCACCGAUGGCGAAGGCACUCAACUAGAACAUGCCCGACGGUAAGGGACGAGAGCUAGGGGAGCAAACCGGAUUAGAUACCCGGGUAGUCACUAGCCGUAAACGAUGCAGACUGAGUGUUUCUUGAACUUUGGGUUCCAAGCAAGUGUGCUGACAGCGCAAGUCCGCUUCCACGUCCCGUCUGUCCUGUACGAUCGUGCUUCAAGUAGUGAUGAAUGGUCGCCACUAAUCCCAGCUGCUUCAUCAGUACGGCAGCACCGCUGAUACUUCAAUACAUCGGCGGGGUAGCACCACAAGGGGUGGGUCAUGCGGUUCUACUGGAUUCCAUGCCGUAAAACUCACCAGGGGCGACAGUUUAUUGAAGGCCAGGUUGACGACUUUGCCCACUAGCUGAGAGGUGGUGCAUGGCCGUCGUCAGUCUCGUACCGUGAGGCGUCCUGUCAAGUCAGGCCACGAGCGAGAUCCUCGCCCUUAGUUGCCAUCGGUGGGAAGCCGGGCACUACUAGGGGGACCGCUGGCGCUAAGCCAGAGCGAAGGAGAGGGCGACGGUAGGUCAGUAUGCCCCGAAUCCCCUGGGCUACACGCGGGUCACAAUGCGCAGGACAAUGGGAUGCAACUCCGUAAGGAGAAGCCAAGCCCCUAAACCUGUCGUCUCGGUUCGGAUCGAGGGCUGCAACUCGUCCCUCGUGAAGUCUGGAAUCCCUAGUAAUCGUCGUGUCCAACACCGUCGCGUGUGUAAUACGUUCCCUGUCUCCUGUCACACACCGUCCCGUUCAAAGUCACUCGUAGUAGGGUCUCGGUAUGUAGGUCUGUUUUCAAGUUGUGUCCGUAUCGUAUCCG